Molecule: long non-coding RNA, 446 nt
Organism: Tupaia belangeri chinensis (Chinese tree shrew)
Lineage: Eukaryota; Metazoa; Chordata; Mammalia; Scandentia; Tupaiidae
Exons: 3
Source: RefSeq, a predicted model, not a curated record
CUCUGAGAGAAGACUUUCCCUAGGCCCUCUGUUUAUGUGGGACUCUGAUCAUAGGAAACAUUUGUUCCUGAAAUAACUUCAAUCAUCAAUAAUGAGAUAUACAGAUGUCCUCCAAGGGAGAGUAAAAGAUCCUGCUCAUCGGAGUCACUCGUAGGACCAAGGUGAGGAGCACCCACCCACUCAAAGCUUCCUCAACCAAAAGAGCCAGAAUCGCGUGAUCCCGGGAAUCAGGUAAACACCACUGGGCAGGAGCCGUAUUCCUUCUUGGAGCAACCUCUGACGCAUGUGUGCUACACCCUGUGCCCUCCCACCACCCCACAGUGGGGCACCUCUCCGUCUGUGAACAGUCACCGUUCUUGGGGAUCCCCCAAAAAAAACAUGUUCCAGGAAACAGAUCACCAUAGAGGCUCAGAUGUUGUGUUUUUUCAUCAACGUUCAAGCAAGCC